Molecule: ribosomal RNA, 664 nt
Filed under: uncultured Chromohalobacter sp.
Lineage: Bacteria; Pseudomonadati; Pseudomonadota; Gammaproteobacteria; Oceanospirillales; Halomonadaceae
Description: bacterial SSU rRNA
Rfam family: Bacterial small subunit ribosomal RNA
Source: RNAcentral
GAUAUAGAGUCUUCUAGCCCCCGGACGGUUUAUCAUAAAAAAAAAUCUCACCAUUCGUUGCCUAUAACCCGCGGAAACUUACGCUUAUAACGCCUCGUCCUACUUUGGAAAGCGGGGGCUCUUCUGACCUCGCGCGAUUGGAUGAGCCUAUGUCCGAUCCCCUAGUUGGAGAGGCAACGGCUUAUCAAGGGGACGAUCCGUACCUGGUCUGAGGGGAUGAUUUCUGCCCCGGGACUGAAACCCCGCCCGCCUUCCUACCGGAGGCAGCAUUGGGGAACUUUGGACAAUGGGCGAAAGCCUGUUUCUGCCAUGCCCCGUGUGUGAAGAAGGCUUUCACGAUCCUAGCACUUUCAGCGGGGAAGAAUGCCUGUCAGUCACUACCCCCCAAAGCGACAUCUCCCGCACAAAAAGUCCGUCUAAUUCCCUGCCGCCAGCCACGUUAAUACGGAGGGUGCAAAACUUUACUCGUAAUUACUGGGCAUCAAGCUCGCGUAAGCGGCGUGUUCCGUUUUGUGCGAAAGUUCCGGGCUCCACCUGGGAACCGGCAUCCGGAACGGGUAGGCUAGAGUGCACGAGAGGAAGGUAGAAUUCCCGGUGUAACGGUGAAAUGCGUAGAGAUCGGGAGGAAUACCAUUGGUCGAANGUGGCCUUCCGGACUGAUACU